This 250-nucleotide ribosomal RNA is filed under the name uncultured bacterium. RNAcentral describes it as "partial 16S ribosomal RNA". It matches the Rfam family "Bacterial small subunit ribosomal RNA", at positions 355 to 618 of the family's 1533-position model. The record is from RNAcentral.
UCGAGAAUCUUCCACAAUGGACGAAAGUCUGAUGGAGCGACGCCGCGUGGUUGAUGAAGUGCUUCGGCACGUAAAGACCUUUUAUGAGGGAAGAAGUUUAUUGACGGUACCUCAUGAAUAAGGGGCUCCUAACUCUGUGCCAGCAGGAGCGGUAAUACAGAGGCCCCGAGCGUUAUCCGGAAUUAUUGGGCGUAAAGGGUGUGUAGGUGGCGUAGUUAGUCGGUUGUUAAAGACCCGGGCUUAACCUGGG